This 492-nucleotide ribosomal RNA is filed under the name uncultured bacterium. RNAcentral's name for it is "partial 16S ribosomal RNA". It matches the Rfam family "Bacterial small subunit ribosomal RNA", at positions 29 to 507 of the family's 1533-position model. The record is from RNAcentral.
AGUGAACGCUGGCGGUAGGCCUAACACAUGCAAGUCGAACGGCAGCACAGUAAGAGCUUGCUCUUACGGGUGGCGAGUGGCGGACGGGUGAGGAAUUCAUCGGAAUCUACUUUUUCGUGGGGGAUAACGUAGGGAAACUUACGCUAAUACCGCAUACGACCUACGGGUGAAAGCAGGGGAUCUUCGGACCUUGCGCGAUUGAAUGAGCCGAUGUCGGAUUAGCUAGUUGGCGGGGUAAAGGCCCACCAAGGCGACGAUCCGUAGCUGGUCUGAGAGGAUGAUCAGCCACACUGGAACUGAGACACGGUCCAGACUCCUACGGGAGGCAGCAGUGGGGAAUAUUGGACAAUGGGCGCAAGCCUGAUCCAGCCAUACCGCGUGGGUGAAGAAGGCCUUCGGGUUGUAAAGCCCUUUUGUUGGGAAAGAAAAGCAGCAGGUUAAUACCCCGCUGUUCUGACGGUACCCAAAGAAUAAGUACCGGCUAACUUCGUG